Molecule: unclassified non-coding RNA, 2644 nt
Filed under: Hevea brasiliensis (rubber tree)
Lineage: Eukaryota; Viridiplantae; Streptophyta; Magnoliopsida; Malpighiales; Euphorbiaceae
Source: RNAcentral
UGGCACCCAUAAUAGCAUAUAGCAUAAAUACCUGCAUCAUUCAAGCCAUUGCCACAGUUUGGAGAGUUACUACACAAUACAUCCGUUGAGUGAGUAACCUCACACUGGAGAUGAUCUACAAAAUUGAACAACGUAAAUCGCCCCCUACCUUUCAGCUCAAAUUUACGUAACUAUAAAUAUAGCUUUGGCACAGUUGAUAUCAAAAACACAGGCAAUAUGGCAUUAGGAUACACUUGCUACAGUACACACUAGUUUCUAUUCUUGUACACACAUAUUAAGCCCAUAAGAAAAAAGAAUGGACCAAGCUAUGUAUUUCAUUAGAUAUAUUUUCUCUAAUAUAUAGGUAUAUAAAUUUAAGCUAGAUGAUGAUUGAACCUUGAUUAAGAUUUGCUCUUGAACCUCCUUUGAGCUUUCAAGUCCACCACAAUCACUGAGAUAUUAUCCUUGCUUCCUUUUUGCAUGGCGAGCAUAGAAAGGUAAUCAGCUGCUGCUUGAGAUGCUGGAUCAAUUCCGUUGCCCCUUUCAGCAAGAGACGCAACUCCAUUCUUUUUGUGCCAGAGCAAAAUCCGUUUUCGAGCAACUUCACAGGCUUCAUUAUUUGUCAUUACAUCCCAUAACCCAUCACUGGCUAAAAUAAGGCAUUCAUCGUCUCUAGCACGAGGAAUAAACAUGACUUCCGGUUCUGGAAUAAUCCAUGGUUUCAAGUAUCUAUCACCAAUUGACCUAGACAUAGCAAGAACACCAAAAACACGAUGUCCAUUCCAUGGAAUCACCUUGCCCCCAGAAGCCUCAAUCCUUGCAUACUCAUCUUCUCUGUUUGGUUUAUGAUCAACUGACAAUGCCAUUGAUUCUUUUCCACGAUAAAGCACUGCUCUUGAAUCACCACAAUUUGCAACUAUGAUAUGGGAUGAACAGACCAAGGCAACCACAGCUGUAGAUCCAACUGUUUCUGGGGCCACGGGCUCAAAAUUGGCAUCAGAAGCAUCUCCAUGGCCUUCAAUGGUGCCUCUGGUACCUUUUCCUCCUAUCUCAUCAUCAACCUUAAGAAAGCAACUAGUGAAGGCUUUCUCCCACUGCACCUGCUGAUUUCCCUCCAUGCUUGCAUCACUUGAAACAUUUUUAACAUUUCCAAUCUCUUCAACCAAGGCCCAGUGGAUUCGGUCACGACAAUAGUUAGCAACCUGAGCGCCCCCAUGGCCAUCGUAAACACCAAAAAAAUGACUCAUUACAUGGGUCAAACUUUCACUUAAUCCAUCAACAACACGGUCACCAAUAAGCAUCUUGAUAGGAAUUUUUACAAACCGAGGGAUAGCUGUAACAGCGUCUUCCAUUUCUGGUCUUCUGCCACAAAUUGAUACAGAACCCCAAAGGGGUAUGCAAUCAAGUUCAAACACACUCCGUGUAGUUCCUUUGCUGAGAUUCUUCUCACUGGGCAACUUAAGAACCACUGCAGAUGCCCUUAAAUCAGAGCCAUCAGAGAUAUCAGCAUUUGAGCUCACUGCUGCAAUAAGAAGUUUUGCCGUAGGCACCUGCACCUCAUUUGAUGACUCCACAAUUAUAGCCUUAGCAAUAAUUUGGCUAUCUUCAAUCCCAACAGAUUUUGGCAAGCUUAUUUCAGAUCCUGCUUCCAAUGCCAACAAUUCCUCAGUCAUUAUUCCAUUAUUGUCUUCCGCAACUGACAAUACUUCAUCUUCAUCGAUUUCCUGUAUGAGAGGAUCAGCUGGAACUGAUAUGUUUCCAUUAUCUGGCAAUACCUUCAAUGAAUCAGUUACUUGAACACCACCAUCUUCUGGUGCAGACAAGGUGGCAAAGUCCUCCUCAUUCUUAGUGUCGCUAGAACUUCCACAGCAUGCAGUAACAGCCUCAUCGGAUACCACCCUAGCAGGAUCAGACAACAAGCCUAAGUCCACUGCAUUAUUAGCAUCUCUAGAGCUUCCACUGCAUGCAAUAACAGCCUCAUCGGAUACCACCUUAACAGGAUCAGACAACAAGCUUACAGUGUCUGCUACUAGCUUUAACCGUUUAAUUUCCACAUGGGCUGUAAUACCCGAGUUAUCAUACAUAGAAUUACCUAAACUAAGCGUCAUUGCAACUGCUGGGGACAUCUCUUCCAUCAAUUCCACUGUGUGUCCAAUUAACAGUUCUAACUAUCUAUAUUUUUUUCACACGAUCCACCAAUUUUCAUCCUCAUCAUUUCCUUUCACAAUUAAACUUGCGGUAAAGCUUGCAGGUUCUAACAAUUCCCCUUCCAUCCUAUGACAUCUCAAUGACCCACCGAUAUUUUUUCAUCAAGGAGAAAUAAAGAGAACACAGUCUAUGUCUCAAGGUCAAAUCAAAGAUGGGCAAGCUGUUGAGCAGAAGCAGAAUUGAAAACAAGUUAUCAGAUCUGGUGAGGAAAAAUGGAUCUAAUCUUCUAAUUAUCAGAUAUUUUCAAGUCUCCGCAGGUAGUUUGAGUUAUCCUCAAAACUCCAGAACUUAUCAAAUUCUUGUCACCUUUUUCCAGAAAGUAACAACAACAACAGGAUACCCAAAUCCUAUCCCCACCACCUACCCUUAAAAACAUAGCCACAAAUGAAAAAAACUAAUAAAAUCAAGACUUCAUCUUUUAACCCAAGAAUAGAAAGCAGGAACAGUCAUGAGAAAC